GACGAACGCUGGCGGCGUGCUUAACACAUGCAAGUCGAACGGUGAACGAGGGAGCUUGCUCCCUCCGGGUCAGUGGCGAACGGGUGAGUAACACGUGAGCAAUCUGCCCCGAACUCUGGGAUAAGCGUUGGAAACGACGUCUAAUACCGGAUACGACGCGGGAGGGCAUCCUCUCCGCGUGGAAAGAACUUCGGUUCGGGAUGAGCUCGCGGCCUAUCAGCUUGUUGGUGAGGUAACGGCUCACCAAGGCGGCGACGGGUAGCCGGCCUGAGAGGGUGACCGGCCACACUGGGACUGAGACACGGCCCAGACUCCUACGGGAGGCAGCAGUGGGGAAUAUUGCACAAUGGGCGCAAGCCUGAUGCAGCAACGCCGCGUGAGGGACGACGGCCUUCGGGUUGUAAACCUCUUUUAGCAGGGAAGAAGCGAAAGUGACGGUACCUGCAGAAAAAGCACCGGCUAACUACGUG
Molecule: ribosomal RNA, 470 nt
Filed under: uncultured bacterium
Lineage: Bacteria
Description: partial 16S ribosomal RNA
Rfam family: Bacterial small subunit ribosomal RNA
Source: RNAcentral